UCCGGGUAUGCUUGACCAUUGAGGGCC
RNAcentral lists this non-coding RNA (27 nucleotides) under Homo sapiens (human). The record is from RNAcentral. Lineage: Eukaryota; Metazoa; Chordata; Mammalia; Primates; Hominidae.